AAUCUGCACAACUUUUUGGACCUGGCAGCCGGCACUGGAUUGGCUGCAGAAGCAUUACUAGAUCAUGGAUACAAAGGAGUAAUGGAUGCUGUUGAAUUGAAUGAAGAUAUGCUGAAGAAAGCGGAAUCAAAGGGAAUAUACAGGAAACAUGUUUGCUUCAAAAUUACAACCCGGAAGCAUCAAUUCCAGUAGGACAAAAUUAUA
Non-coding RNA from Styela clava, 204 nucleotides. The record is from RefSeq and is a predicted model, not a curated record. Lineage: Eukaryota; Metazoa; Chordata; Ascidiacea; Stolidobranchia; Styelidae.